This 126-nucleotide small RNA is filed under the name Salmonella enterica subsp. enterica serovar Kentucky. Its description in RNAcentral is "RtT sRNA". It matches the Rfam family "RtT RNA". Rfam says of the family: This family represents a bacterial cis-regulatory element known as RtT RNA. The exact function of RtT is unknown although it is thought that it may be involved in changing the cellular response in relation to amino acid starvation. The record is from RNAcentral. Lineage: Bacteria; Pseudomonadati; Pseudomonadota; Gammaproteobacteria; Enterobacterales; Enterobacteriaceae.
UUGCUAUCUGCGAUAUGGAAGAUUCGAACCUGCCGCAGGUUCGGGUCUAACGCAGUGAGACAACGGAGCCGUUUACGGCGACGGCCCGAAGGGCGAGCGAAGCGAGUCAUCCUGCACGACCCACCA